This 425-nucleotide ribosomal RNA is filed under the name uncultured bacterium. RNAcentral's name for it is "partial 16S ribosomal RNA". It matches the Rfam family "Bacterial small subunit ribosomal RNA", at positions 354 to 796 of the family's 1533-position model. The record is from RNAcentral.
GUUAGGAAUAUUGGACAAUGGGCGAAAGCCUGAUCCAGCCAUGCCGCGUGAACGAUGAAGGCCUUCGGGUUGUAAAGUUCUUUAGCCGAUGAUUAUAAUGACUGUAGUCGGAAAAUAAGCCCCGGCUAACUUCGUGCCAGAAGCCGCGGUAAUACGAAGGGGGCGAGCGUUAUUCGGAAUCACUGGGCGUAAAGCGUGCGUAGGCGGUUUUGUAAGUUAGGAGUGAAAGCCCAGGGCGCAACCUUGGAAUUGCUCUUAAAACUGCAAGGCUCGAAUCUCGGAGAGGAUAGCGGAAUUUCCAGUGUAGCAGUGAAAUGCGUAGAUAUUGGAAGGAACACCAGUGGCGUAAGCGGCUAUCUGGACGAGUAUUGACGCUGAGGCACGAAAGCGUGGGGAUCAAACAGGAUUAGAAGCCCGAGUAGUCC